RNAcentral lists this ribosomal RNA (253 nucleotides) under uncultured bacterium. RNAcentral describes it as "partial 16S ribosomal RNA". It matches the Rfam family "Bacterial small subunit ribosomal RNA", at positions 524 to 776 of the family's 1533-position model. RNAcentral also lists the same sequence under 1 other name. The record is from RNAcentral.
GACGAAGGAUGCAAGCGUUAUCCGGAUUCAUUGGGUUUAAAGGGUGCGUAGGCGGACUGAUAAGUCAGUGGUGAAAUCUCUCAGCUUAACUGAGAAACUGCCAUUGAUACUGUCGGUCUAGAGUAUAGAUGACGUUGGCGGAAUAUGACAUGUAGUGGUGAAAUACUUAGAUAUGUCAUAGAACACCGAUUGCGAAGGCAGCUAACGAAACUAUAACUGACGCUGAGGCACGAAAGUGCGGGGAUCAAACAGG